UUGUAUUGGAAUGAUAGAAAUUUAAACACUUUUUAAAGUAUCAAUUGGAGGGCAAGUCUGGUGCCAGCAGCCGCGGUAAUUCCAGCUCCAAUAGCGUAUAUUAAAAUUGUUGCAGUUAAAAAGCUCGUAGUUGAAUUUCUGCUAAAAAUAACCGGUCUGCUUUAAAUAAAAGUGGUAUCUUGGUGUGUUUUUAGCAAUAAUGUCCUUUGAAAUGUUUUUUACUUCAUUGUAAUAGAUUAUAUUAAGGAUUUUUACUUUGAGAAAAUUAGAGUGUUUCUAGCAGGCUAACGCUUUGAAUACUGCAGCAUGGAAUAAUAAAAUAGGAUUUUGGUUCUACAUUAUUGGUUUUAAGAGCUAAAUUAAUGAUUGAUAGGGACAGUUGGGGGCAUUUGUAUUUAACUGUCAGAGGUGAAAAUUCUUAGA
Molecule: ribosomal RNA, 423 nt
Filed under: Hepatozoon sp.
Lineage: Eukaryota; Apicomplexa; Hepatozoidae
Description: SSU rRNA
Rfam family: Eukaryotic small subunit ribosomal RNA
Source: RNAcentral